AUCGCUUCUCGGCCUUUUGGCUAAGAUCAAAGUGUAGUAUAUGAUAUUAUCAGAUUAAUAUUUGAUGUGUUCCUAAUAUUGGAACAUCGAUAUUAAACUGUUUUUCUAUUACUGGCGAAGGUGUUGGAGCUUGCUCUCCCUUUUCUACGUGUGGACAUGUUAUUGCAGUAAGGAUAGGAUUUAACCCACCUCCG
Octopus bimaculoides (California two-spot octopus) is the source of this 194-nucleotide non-coding RNA. The record is from Rfam. NCBI's taxonomy places the organism in Eukaryota, Metazoa, Mollusca, Cephalopoda, Octopoda, Octopodidae.